GAUACCAAAAAGUCUAGGGCAACAGACUGUGAAAGGUCAUAUGAUUGUGAGAGGUGAAGCCGGCUGGGAUUCUGGGUCAGGUGGUGACUUGGAGAACUUUUCUGUCUAGCUAAAGGAUUGUAAACACACCAAUCAGCACUCUGUGUCUAGCUAAAGGAUUGUAAAUGCACCAAUCAGCACUUGUAAAAAUGCGCCAAUCAGCACUCUGUGUCUAGCUAAAGGUUUGUAAAUGCGCUAAUCAGCACUCUGUAAAAACAGACCAAUCAGCACUCUGUAAAACAGACCAAUCAGCGCUCUGUAAAAUGGACCAAUCAGCAGGAUGUGGGUGGGGCCAAAUAAGGGAAUAAAAGCUGGCCACCCGGGCCAGCAGCAGCAACCUGCUCAGGUCCCCUUCCAUGGUGUGGAAGCUUUGUUCUUUCGCUGUUCACAAUGAAUCUUGCUGCUGCUCACUCUUUGGGUCCGCACUAGCUUUAUGAGCUGUAACGCUCACUGCGAAGGUCUGUGGCUUCACUCCUGAAGUCAGCAAGACCACGAACCCACCGGAAGGAGGAAACAACUCCGGAAGCACCACGUUUAAGAGCUGUAACACUCACUGCGAAAGUCUGCAGCUUCACUCCUGAAGUCAGCAAGACCACAAACCCACCGGAAGGAAGAAAUUCCAGACACAUCUAAACAUUGGAAGGAACAAACUCCAGACACACUAUCUUUAAGAACUGUAACACUCACCGCGAGGGUCUGUGGCUUCAUGCUUGAAGUCAGCCGGACCAAGAACCCACCGGAAAGAACCAAUUCCUGACACAAUCGUUCUUCAUGGUCUAUGACUCCAAGGUCUGAAAUGAUCUCAUUUACCCCACAUGAUAGAUGUGGCCCUUCCAGAUGAGGAGUUCAACAAGACUACAUGGUAGAGCAGCCAGAGAACCCACUGGAAAUAAGGCUCAAAAUAAGGAGUAACCACAAAAUAAGAGACAGAGAAUGCUGAUUCACUAUGCAGUGAAACAUGCCUAACGUGUCAACAGCUAAAUGCCCGGUGACAGUGUGGUUGUCUGGGCAACAGAAGAAGUCACCCACGCAAACACUUAAAGGACCAUACUUAUUUUACAAGAGGAACAGUUUUCAAUGGAAUGGAUAUUAAAACACACACCUGGAUCCCUUUACCACAGGUGCUUUGAGAGGCACCAUCAAGGACAGUGAGCUAACGCAGGAGAAUGGAGUCCCAGAAACCUAGGAGGAGAAGACAAAGUGUCAGCCUCUCGGCAUCUGCAGUGUUGCUAGGAAAAGAGCUCUGAUCCCAGGGGCUUACCCACUUCCACAGGAUCAUCCUCUGCAUAUGAAGGAACAGACAAGCCCUCAGCUCUACCACUUUGGAGAGGGGGGGAUUGGACAGCAUGAGCCUUCAAUUGUAUCUCUUGGAUGACCAAGGAAGGCUGGAUUUCUGCACCUAAAAAAUGGAAGCACAAACUGUACAACAAAUACUCUCCAUUCAAGUUGAAGUUCUCAAAUAAGGUAUCCAAUUAACCAAUGUAUUAAUAACAUUGAAAAUAAUAAUCUCAUAGGAAGAUUCCAAAAAUUUCUGGUUUUAUAUCUAGCAAAAACUUCAUGCACUAUGUUUGAUUUGUAUGUAGAACUCAGGGUGAACAUGCCAGUGACAGUGGCAAUGAGAGGGGUAACUGGGGGCCAGAAGCAGGCUGAGGGAGAGGAGAGGAGGGGGCAGAGUGUGCUCAGGGAACCAUGAGCCAUGCAGGAUAAGCAAUAGGGCAGAAUAAACAGGACAUACCCAUCUGUUUAUUCUCUCUGUAUAAUGUUUUGAUUCUCUUUGUACCCUAACUAACCAAGGCACAGCUCAGGAAGUUGCUGCCAGGAUUAGAAAAAGGGAGUUGCACAUUCUCAAAAAGCAAUGGUACAGUGCAAAGAAUGGUAAUUAAUCCCCCAGCACACUUGACCCAGCCCCUAAAGAACUUUGUGACCUUGGGCCAGGCAGGCAGCUCCCAGGCUUCUGUUUUGUCAUUUUUGACCUCUUCUGGCUGCAGUGAUUCAUUUCCAGAUAUAGGUUGCUUCAGCUCAUCUCAAAGUCUUCUUGUAGCCUGUUCUUUGAGAAAUGGUAAUAUAUCUCUUGAAAAGUUUCUUUUUCUUGCAAAGUCACCCAAUUCAUGAGUUAAUGAGGUCCCACCAGUGAUACGAUUGCAGAGUCACAAAUAUCACUAACUGAAAGGAGUAGAAGGAAGGCGGGAAUUGCAGACACACCAUGAGUGGGUGGCCUCCAGGAGAUACACGUGAGACCAGCCCUGUGGUGGGCCAGGUCAGAAGGACUUCUGCUUAGACUAGGUGGAAACUUCUCAGCAUUCUGAGGAGUACCACCAUCUGACUGGCAGUUUGAAGGUAUCACUUGGGCUGCUGUAUCAAGAAUAGACUUCAGAAGACAAGUUGAACGUAGCAAGACCAGUGAGAAAGGUGUCAUAGCCGUCCAAGUGCAGGGUGGCAGUGGAGAUAGGAGUUAUAUUAAGGAGAGAGUCACCAGGAUUUGCUGAUGGGUUAGGUGUGGGCUGUGGAAGAAAGAUCAAAGUCAAGAAUGACUCCAAUGACAUUGUCCUAAGCAAUUGGAAUGAUGAAAUCACAGUUGUUGAGAUGGGGAACCUGCACAUGGAGUGAGUCUGGAGGAGAGAUUAGUUGUUUGGCUUUGGCCAUGCUGAGUUUCAGAUGUGUUUCGACACACAUGUGGAGGGGUUACGCUUGAAUGUCUGAGUCUGACUUUUGUAUUGAGAUGUUCCUAUCCUACUUCUUCCUACCUCCACCCUGCAAAGGAUGGCCAUGGUUAUCUUCAGUGCCCCCACAAAGCUCUGUGCAGAUUCCUGGUAUGUCACAUUUAUUUCAAAUGGCUUUACUGAGAUGUAAUUGAUAUAUAGUUCACCCAUUUAAAUUGGACAAUUGAAUGGUUUUUAGUAUAUUCACAGAGUUUUGAUCAUGUGUAACAUGGUCUAUUUUUAGAAUAUUUUUGUCACCCCUUCCCCUCUAAAAAACCUCAUAGCCAUUAGGAAACAUUCUCCAUUUCCUAGCAUGGUAUUUUAAAAUAGUGACAAUUCCUAUUUUCAAGUCUGUCAGUAAGCCUCUUAAUGGUAGGGACUUCCGUGUUAUUUGUUUUUGCAUUUCACCCUGUAACAAUUACUCAAAAAAGCUGUUGUAUGAAUGAACUACAGUUUGAAAAAUACGACCCCAAGACUGUGUGUCUUUAAGAGAGAACCAACCCUUUGCAUUCCGGUGCUCUUCGUAUGGCUGCCUGUAGCAUUUUUCAGAUCUAGUUGAGAAACCGAUGGGAGGAUAUGGAGAUAAGUCUCAUUACUCUUUUCUUUCUUGGCUAUACUUCUCUAGCAUCUGUUGUAAACAAAACAGAAAAGAGUCUUUCUAAACCUGGUGAAAAUAUCUCAAAUGCAAGGAAGCCAGUGAUGAAAAAUGCAAUAUCAAAGUUCGGGCUGUUACAAACACAUGGCAUAAAUCACAUCUGCUCAUUAAACUUAUUACAAAGAAUGAUAACAAAAGCAAAGAGAUGUCUGAAAAUGUCUUGGGAAAAAUAAAGUAGCUAAUAAAUUCGUGGUUUUACUGUUUUAUGUCAUAAGGAUGGAUAUAAUUUCAUUUGGGACAAAUGUUUCUGGACUCAGACUACAGACUACAGAUUUGGAGCUGAAGGCCACUACCAAGGCAAUCUCCUCUAACAUCUUCAUUUCAGAGCUGAUGAGCUAGAUAGUCAUGCCCUGUGACCUCUCAGCUGGUUAUGGCAGAGCUCGCCCAAGAGCAAGGGGCGUAAUAUAUUAAUUAGUUUAAACUGAUAUGCGUUAUGUACUAACAGGGUCUGGGCAGACCAGUAGCAUCUAAAUAUUAUUCUAAGAGUCAGAAGCUUUUUUUCCAAUAAAGCCUUAUGCUGAAAACAAUAAUUAUGGCAGAAUCCUUCUGAUGGAGCCUGGGGGGUGGACUGCUUUUUCCCUCUGCUGCUGCAGCCCUGACGUGGUUUAGUGUGUCCUGGGACUAUCCCUUUGACAUCCCUCCUCUGUAUUCUUCUGAAAUACAGGACCCAUCCACUGCAUAUAGUCACAAGUUUACUUGCUUCUCUUCCCUCCUAAACUGUGGAAUCUCUCAACAUAAUGAUUGUGUCUUACACAAAACUGCAUAUCUCAGUUUCUGAACUCAGGAAAUAUUAACUUUGUUCUUUGACUUGCCAGGUUCUUUUCAAGGUGUUGGUGACACAGAUAUGAGGAAAACAGAGUUGACUCAUGGUGAUGGAGCUUACAUUCUAUGGGGCAAGAGUGAGCAGAGG
This 4303-nucleotide long non-coding RNA is filed under the name Homo sapiens (human). RNAcentral's name for it is "HSALNT0122249". The record is from RNAcentral. Lineage: Eukaryota; Metazoa; Chordata; Mammalia; Primates; Hominidae.